Molecule: transfer RNA, 71 nt
Filed under: Roseibium aggregatum
Lineage: Bacteria; Pseudomonadati; Pseudomonadota; Alphaproteobacteria; Hyphomicrobiales; Stappiaceae
Also listed under: 3 other names
Description: tRNA-Leu
Rfam family: tRNA
About the family: Transfer RNA (tRNA) molecules are approximately 80 nucleotides in length. Their secondary structure includes four short double-helical elements and three loops (D, anti-codon, and T loops). Further hydrogen bonds mediate the characteristic L-shaped molecular structure. tRNAs have two regions of fundamental functional importance: the anti-codon, which is responsible for specific mRNA codon recognition, and the 3' end, to which the tRNAs corresponding amino acid is attached (by aminoacyl-tRNA synthetases). tRNAs cope with the degeneracy of the genetic code in two manners: having more than one tRNA (with a specific anti-codon) for a particular amino acid; and 'wobble' base-pairing, i.e. permitting non-standard base-pairing at the 3rd anti-codon position.
Source: RNAcentral
GUGGUGGAAUUGGUAGACACAAGGGACUUAAAAUCCUUCCAGUAUCGGUUCGACUCCGAUCAUGGGCACCA